RNAcentral lists this ribosomal RNA (1663 nucleotides) under marine sediment metagenome. RNAcentral describes it as "bacterial LSU rRNA". It matches the Rfam family "Bacterial large subunit ribosomal RNA", at positions 1266 to 2925 of the family's 2925-position model. The record is from RNAcentral.
AGCCAUGGUGGAGCUAUGACAAGUGAGAAUGUCGGUAUGAGUAGCGUAAAGGCAUGUGAAAACCAUGCCCACCGUAAACCUAAGGUUUCCUAUGCAACGUCAAUCGGCAUAGGGUUAGUCAGGCCUAAGCCAAACCCUAAUGGGGUAGGCGAUGGAUAGUAGGUUAAUAUUCCUACACCGCUUAACCUUUGCUUUAAGGCAAAGGGGGGACACAGGAAGGUAGGCUGAGCAUGCCUAAUGGACAUGGUGUGUUCCCAACUCGAGGUGCGUCAGGGCAGGCAAAUCCACUCUGACAUUAAGCUGAGGGGAGGGAGAAUUUGAGGGGCAACCCGAGAAAACUCAGCUGAUCUUACGCUGGCAAGAAAAGCCUCGUUGCUAAAAGGUUAAGCGCCUGUACCGCAAACCGCCACUGGUAGGUGGGGAUAAGAGUCCCAAGGUGUUCGAGAGAACCCUCGUUAAGGAAUUCGGCAAUUUAACCCCGUAACUUCGGGAUAAGGGGGCCCGCCUGAAUAAGGCGGGGACACAAAAUUGGCCCAGGCGACUGUUUAACAAAAACACAGGUCUCUGCUAAAGCGAAAAAGCUGAAAUAUAGAGGCUGAUACCUGCCCGGUGCCAGAAGGUUAAGGGGAGAGGUUAGGGCGUAAGCUCAAAGCUUUGAACCGAAGCCCUGGUGAACGGCGGCCGUAACUAUAACGGUCCUAAGGUAGCGAAAUCCCUUGUCGGGUAAGUUCCGACCCGCACGAAAGGUGUAACGAUCUGGGCGCUGUCUCAACGAGGGACUCGGCGAAAUUGCAAUGGGGGCGAAGAUGCCUCCUUCCCGCGACAGGACAAAAAGACCCUGGCAGCUUUACUAUAGCUUGGCACUGAGCUUAGGCUGAGCAUGUGUAGGAUAGGUGGGAGGCUGAGAAGCUGGGGCGUCAGCUCCGGUGGAGCCAACGGUGAAAUACCACUCUUGUUCAGUUUUGGUUCUAACCCGCCUUAAGGCGGGGACAGUGUCUGGUAGGUAGUUUGACUGGGGCGGUUGCCUCCUAAAAGGUAACGGAGGCGUCCAAAGGUUCCCUCAGCACGGAUGGAAACCGUGUGUGGAGUGCAUUGGCAUAAGGGAGCUUAACUGUGAGACCCACAAGUCGAGCAGAGACGAAAGUCGGGCAAAGUGAUCCUACGGUACUGUGUGGAAAGGCCGUAGCUUAACGGAUAAAAGCUACGCCAGGGAUAACAGGCUUAUCUUGCCCAAGAGUUCAUAUCGACGGCAAGGUUUGGCACCUCGAUGUCGGCUCGUCGCAUCCUGGGGCUGGAGAAGGUCCCAAGGGUUGGGCUGUUCGCCCAUUAAAGCGGCACGCGAGCUGGGUUCAGACCGUCGUGAGACAGGUCGGUCUCUAUCCGUCGUGGGCGCCGGAGAUUUGAGGGGAGCUCUCCUUAGUACGAGAGGACCAGGAGGGACAGACCUCUGGUGUGCCAGUUGUUCCGCCAGGAGCAGUGCUGGGUAGCUACGUCUGGAAGGGAUAAGCGCUGAAAGCAUCUAAGUGCGAAGCCCACCCCAAGAUUAGAUCUCCCACUGGGUUAACCAGGUAAGGCCGCAAGUAGACUACUUGCUUGAUAGGCGGCAUGUGUAAGUGGAGUAAUCCUCUUAGCUAAGCCGUACUAAUGGCCGAGGCCUUGAUCU